RNAcentral lists this ribosomal RNA (254 nucleotides) under uncultured bacterium. Its description in RNAcentral is "partial 16S ribosomal RNA". It matches the Rfam family "Bacterial small subunit ribosomal RNA", at positions 524 to 776 of the family's 1533-position model. The record is from RNAcentral.
UACGUAGGGGGCAAGCGUUGUCCGGAUUUAUUGGGCGUAAAAGGCUUGUAGGUGGCCACGCCAAGUCGGAUGUGAAAUCUCCCGGCUCAACUGGGAGGGGUCAUUCGAUACUGGCGGGCUCGAGGCCGGUAGGGGGAAGUGGAAUUCCCGGUGUAGUGGUGGAAUGCGUAGAUAUCGGGAGGAACACCAGUGGCGAAGGCGGCUUCCUGGACCGGUUCUGACGCUGAGGCGCGAAAGCGUGGGGAGCAAACAGG